GGGCACAUAGCAAGGCAAUGUGUCCACUCUAAACCGACAUACACACAACCAGAAACCCCUUCAACCACUGAGGCUAACAAGGAAACAAACGAGUAGCAACUAGUCACAUUCCCAAAGCGGUGACACACAUCUAAACCAACAAAGGAACAAAACAACAAUCACAAACCCCACCCGCAGGUAAGGGUCACAGAAGGUUCACUGUGUACAUCCUCUGAAACCCUUUAACGUUUAUGAUUGUUGAUCGGCCGACCGCAUUCCCAAAGGUAAUUGAAUCAAGACACUUUGUAAGAGAGGUGUAAUUUGGACGUAAAAGUAACUGGUAAAGUUGUUGC
This 332-nucleotide long non-coding RNA is filed under the name Capsicum annuum. RNAcentral's name for it is "long non-coding RNA (CANN_LNC020693)". The record is from RNAcentral. Lineage: Eukaryota; Viridiplantae; Streptophyta; Magnoliopsida; Solanales; Solanaceae.